CCUAGCCUUUGAUGGUGGCAAAUCCUUAUUGUUCAUUUCACUCUCUUAUUUUUCUAUGAAUAAAGUGAUCUCUAUUUAUAGAAAAAUAUAUGCCAAAAAACUAGUAACAAAUCUGUUUUAAAAAUAAAACAAAUCCAAGUCAGAGUACCUUCCAAGAAAAGAUUUUUCCCAAAAAAACAGCAAAACAACACAUGCUGUCAAAACGCGCGGCGCCUGGGCGUGAGCUCCCACGCCUGGGCGUGAGAAGGCAGAUUUGAUCCCAAUUCUGCACGCCUGUGCGCCAGCUCCCACGCCUGGGCGUGAGCAGGCAGAAUCUCCCUAAAAACAUGAUUUUCUGACUUCUUGUUACCGAGAUUUCAAGGCAU
This 365-nucleotide long non-coding RNA is filed under the name Trifolium pratense (red clover). RNAcentral describes it as "long non-coding RNA (TPRA_LNC010627)". The record is from RNAcentral. Lineage: Eukaryota; Viridiplantae; Streptophyta; Magnoliopsida; Fabales; Fabaceae.